This is a long non-coding RNA of Oreochromis aureus, 215 nucleotides long. RefSeq lists it as uncharacterized. Lineage: Eukaryota; Metazoa; Chordata; Actinopteri; Cichliformes; Cichlidae. The record is from RefSeq and is a predicted model, not a curated record. The transcript is spliced from 3 exons.
AGCAGAAAUGAUGACGGAUGAUGAUGGCAGCAGCAGCCGUUCUCCUCUGCGUAAAUCCUGCAAAAACAUCAAACUGGAGAGCCAGAGCCAGCGUGAUACAUCGAAGUGUGGCUCUGGCCUCAGGACCCCCGGAGUCUUCAUACAGUCCACCAGGCAGAUAGAGAGGUGCUUGCAGCCCAGCACCGAUGGACUGCUGACCGACUCCAUGAUUGCCC